GUAACGAAAGUUUUUAUCUCUUCAACGAUAAGCUCGUGGUGGGGCGUCAGUUAAGAGUCCCAUUCACCGCAGCAAUAGUAACCUCCCCUCUCAGAAACGACGGGCAGAGCUGCCUAAACCAGCAUAAAAGACAAUAUAGAGCAAAUUUAAUUGCUGAAGCUUCAGCUUCAGCCAGUAACAUAUUUGAACUUACAUGAGAAAUUAUUUAGUGUACUCAGUGUAUAUGUAUUAUCUCU
Molecule: unclassified non-coding RNA, 236 nt
Filed under: Hevea brasiliensis (rubber tree)
Lineage: Eukaryota; Viridiplantae; Streptophyta; Magnoliopsida; Malpighiales; Euphorbiaceae
Source: RNAcentral